RNAcentral lists this ribosomal RNA (199 nucleotides) under uncultured bacterium. RNAcentral describes it as "partial 16S ribosomal RNA". It matches the Rfam family "Bacterial small subunit ribosomal RNA", at positions 1294 to 1500 of the family's 1533-position model. The record is from RNAcentral.
CGGAUUGGAGUCUGCAACUCGACUCCAUGAAGCUGGAUUCGCUAGUAAUCGCGCAUCAGCCAUGGCGCGGUGAAUACGUUCCCGGGCCUUGUACACACCGCCCGUCAAGCCAUGGGAGCCGGGAGCGCUUGAAGUGCGUCGCCGCGAGGCGCGCCCUAGAGCGAGACCGGUGACUGGGGCUAAGUCGUAACAAGGUAAC